CCCUUAGACGUUCUGGGCCGCACGCGCGCUACACUGACCAGUGCAACAAGCAUCCGUCCUUGGCCGACAGGCCCGGGCAAUCUUUGAACGCUGGUCGUGAUGGGGAUAGACUUUUGCAAUUUUUGGUCUUCAACGAGGAAUUCCUAGUAAACGCAAGUCAUCAACUUGCAUUGAUUACGUCCCUGCCCUUUGUACACACCGCCCGUCGCACCUACCGAUUGAAUGGCCCGGUGAAGCCUCCGGAUUGGCGCGCACCUCGGUGCCGCCGAGAAGUUGGCUAAACCUUACCAUUUAGAGGAAGGUGAANUCGUANCA
This 315-nucleotide ribosomal RNA is filed under the name uncultured eukaryote. Its description in RNAcentral is "partial 18S ribosomal RNA". It matches the Rfam family "Eukaryotic small subunit ribosomal RNA", at positions 1470 to 1796 of the family's 1831-position model. The record is from RNAcentral.